Molecule: ribosomal RNA, 253 nt
Filed under: uncultured bacterium
Lineage: Bacteria
Description: partial 16S ribosomal RNA
Rfam family: Bacterial small subunit ribosomal RNA
Source: RNAcentral
UACGUAGGGUCCGAGCGUUGUCCGGAAUUACUGGGCGUAAAGAGCUCGUAGGUGGUUUGUCGCGUUGUUCGUGAAAACUCACAGCUCAACUGUGGGCGUGCAGGCGAUACGGGCAGACUAGAGUACUGCAGGGGAGACUGGAAUUCCUGGUGUAGCGGUGGAAUGCGCAGAUAUCAGGAGGAACACCGGUGGCGAAGGCGGGUCUCUGGGCAGUAACUGACGCUGAGGAGCGAAAGCGUGGGGAGCGAACAGG